Molecule: ribosomal RNA, 473 nt
Filed under: uncultured bacterium
Lineage: Bacteria
Description: SSU rRNA
Rfam family: Bacterial small subunit ribosomal RNA
Source: RNAcentral
AGGACGAACGCUGGCGGCGUGCUUAACACAUGCAAGUGGAGCGACGAACCAGGGCUUGCCCUGGGGCAGAGCCGCGAACGGGUGAGUAACACGUGGGUUACCUGCCUUGAUGACCGGGACAACCCGAGGAAACUCGGGCUAAUACCGGAUGUGCCCGCAAGGGGAAAGGAAGCUUCGGCCUCCGCAUCAAGAUGGGCCCGCGGCCCAUUAGCUUGUUGGUGAGGUAACGGCUCACCAAGGCUUCGAUGGGUAGCUGGUCUGAGAGGACGAUCAGCCACCACUGGGACUGAGACACGGCCCAGACUCCUACGGGAGGCAGCAGUGGGGAAUCUUGCGCAAUGCGCGAAAGCGUGACGCAGCAACGCCGCGUGGGGGAAGAAGGCUUUCGGGUUGUAAACCCCUUUCAGCAGGGACGAAGCGAAAGUGACGGUACCUGCAGAAGAAGCGCCGGCUAACUACGUGCCAGCAGCCGC